RNAcentral lists this ribosomal RNA (468 nucleotides) under uncultured bacterium. RNAcentral's name for it is "partial 16S ribosomal RNA". It matches the Rfam family "Bacterial small subunit ribosomal RNA", at positions 28 to 507 of the family's 1533-position model. The record is from RNAcentral.
GACGAACGCUGGCGGCGUGCUUAACACAUGCAAGUCGAACGGAAAGGCCCUGCUUUUGUGGGGUGCUCGAGUGGCGAACGGGUGAGUAACACGCGAGUAACCUGCCCUUGACUUUGGGAUAACUUCAGGAAACUGGGGCUAAUACCGGAUAGGAGCUCCUGCUGCAUGGUGGGGGUUGGAAAGUUUCGGCGGUUGGGGAUGGACUCGCGGCUUAUCAGCUUGUUGGUGGGGUAGUGGCUUACCAAGGCUUUGACGGGUAGCCGGCCUGAGAGGGUGACCGGCCACAUUGGGACUGAGAUACGGCCCAGACUCCUACGGGAGGCAGCAGUGGGGAAUAUUGCACAACGGGCGGAAGCCUGAUGCAGCAACGCCGCGUGCGGGAUGACGGCCUUCGGGUUGUAAACCGCUUUCGCCUGUGACGAAGCGUGAGUGACGGUAAUGGGUAAAGAAGCACCGGCUAACUACGUG